This is a long non-coding RNA of Vespa velutina, 2592 nucleotides long. RefSeq lists it as uncharacterized. The transcript has 3 exons. The record is from RefSeq and is a predicted model, not a curated record. Lineage: Eukaryota; Metazoa; Arthropoda; Insecta; Hymenoptera; Vespidae.
GAAAAGCAUCGAAGGGAGACAGAGCGAGGAGAUGGAAGAGGAAAAUCUGGACGAGAGCGCGAGAGAUAGAGAGACUGAUGGUGGAUGAGGGUAGGAAAAGAGAGCGAGGGGUGGACAGGACUGCCAAGGUAGGGGACGAAGUGGUCGUCAGAGACGAUAACACACCAACAGAUAUAUCGAUCAUCUAUCUAGGCAGCUGUUGUACACGUCAUUCUAUACCUUGGAGCCACCUCCUGGCAUGUAGCUUUGCAAAUCACAUAUAUGUACACGUGUUCGCAUCUUUCUACGUUUCCUUCUUACGUAUAUUUUUUUGAUGCGUAACAUCAGAGGACUUUUGCGAUUUACGUUCAGAAAUAACGAUAGUAGUCCGAUUACAAACAAAGAAUGGCCAUGAUGAAAGGCAUAAUAAUAUAUCCUUCGAAAAAGAAGAGUUGUAAAGUACAGCUUACCAGUCUCUAAUUUUCAAUGUUAUUUCAAAGAAUAAAGUGGAAAGCAAUUAGAUGCGAGGACGCGUAUUACCAUCGCUAAUUUUAAACCUGCCCUAAGCGGCUCCCACGAUAGUCGCUACGAGUUCCUGUCAUCCCGUGCGAACGUGACCCCCUGUGAUGUGCCUUUGCAUUAAUCGUCGCUAAAUUAUCUAAGGUUCGAGCUUGCUAAAUACAAGUAUUUGUUGUGAUAUAUCAUAUAAUGUACUGUUAAUUAAUAUUAUUGAUAAUAUGUAUAAACGAGGGAAAAGAUUUUGAAGACGUCUGUCAAUGAAACCUUUGCUAACUUUAACUAUUGACGAAUCAACAAAGCGAUGACGUGUACUUAUGAAAGCUAAGAUUGACAAUGUCAAUAACGAUUUUAGGAUCAGUCGAACGAUCAUUUAUCUACUAUCAGUUGACAUUUAUAGCUGACCUAGCAUGCUCGUGACACGGACACAAUGCAUGUAGAAUAUGAGCAUUUUCCUGCUACAAUUGGAACGUUUCUCACGUUACAACCCUGUCACGUUGGUCACGUGUAUGUGGUAAAUGCAAUACGUGCUGCUACAUACUUCACCAUUUUGUUAUUAUUUGCAAGAGCGAACUGAAGUUAAUGCAAAGUUAUCCUUAAUAACGAUUGACACAAGACCAAUCAUAAUUUAUAUCUUUAUUCAUCUUACAAGUUGUUAAUUUUAUACUUAUAUAUUUAUUUAUGUAUUUUUUUAUCAUAUUUGUAUUAUGUCUUUAUAUAAUAUGAUUAUAUGUAUACCUUACGUGGCAUAGAAAAUAUUCAAUUUUUUAAUUGAUGUCUCUUUUAACAAUAGAAAAUGUGUAAUCGAGUAAUUAUCGUCGCGCGGAAACCUCCUUCAAAGCAGCUGCCCCUAGGCAAAGUUCUAUGCGGAGACGUAAGCGGAUUGUGAUGGAAUUGAAGUUGGUCCAGCUCAAUGCUUUGAACUUGCUCAGUGCGAGUGAGAAAGAGAGACAGAGAGAGAAAGAGAAAGAGAAAGAGAGAGAGAGAGAGAGAAAGAGAGAAAGCGAGUAGAGGAGAAAGAGAGAGACUGUGCCUACGAAUUAUACCGGACUGACUGCUCUACCCUUUUGGUGAACCUUUUAACCCUUUAAUUGCUAUCGUCGCCAUUCGUCGUCGACGGCAAUACUGAACCUCUUCAAAGUAAACCACGCGAUCACCGUCGACGAAACGAUUUCACACGCACAGAUUAAUUGCUGCGACGCGGAGAAUAGAAUGAAAAGAAGAAAAAAAAAAAAAGGAAAAAGAAGAACAAAAAAGAACAAAGGAAACAUAAAAGAAUUACUUUGAAUAUCGGAAAUUCGUCAAGCCAUAAACGGAGACAACGGGAAGAAGGGACAGCAGAAAGCGUAAUUAAUUACUACACACGUUCGAAUAAUGCGAUCGUCGGUCUGCGGUCUUCCUUUCUCCACUUACAUCUGGUUAAAUCGCAAUUACUCAGAAAGCCUCUAGCAGGAUUGGCCGGCAAAGGUCGAUGAAAGGGGCUGGCUGACAAGAACGCGCGUAACGAAAAGAUAAGAUCGUUUUUGUUUUCGUUAAGAGAUUAAUUUCAAGGUAAUAGUAAAUGUAAAUUCAAUCCUAGAACCAUCUCCCUCCAUCUACUGACACAAAAGGGUAGUUAUCCACGUGAUUAAAGAUUGUGCGUUCGACCAAAUCGAAUAACGAGAAUAAAAGUAGAAAAAGAAUAAAAAGUUUCUAAGUCCUUCUUCCAUUUUUUAAAUCUUCCAUCCUUCUCGUUACUCGCUUUAUCCUACAAGCAAUUUUUCCAUCCUCAAUUCAUUGCCCACUCUGCACUUUUCAUCAUGAAAGGGAAAAGAACGAAACUGCAAAGUGGAGAAAGUGGGAGGGGGAAGAGCGCGAACGAGAAAAAGCGUGAGAGAAUGGAAGGAAGGCAGUCCUUUUUAUAAUUGCAAAGCGUUCAUCGUUCCGGCGAGGACUUUUGAAGCGUGAGAUCAAGGCAAUCGGAUGGGGAGAAUAAAUGCGAAUAAAUCUCUCGCUGUCCAUGACACUGAGGGCUGUUUUAUCUUUCACGAAGUAAAAGUGUUCGGAGAGGAAAAUGUUAAUAGUGUACAGUAGCACUAAGAUAAAUUAAACCAAGAA